This 431-nucleotide ribosomal RNA is filed under the name Tiarina fusus. RNAcentral describes it as "Tiarina fusa partial Bacterial small subunit ribosomal RNA". It matches the Rfam family "Bacterial small subunit ribosomal RNA", at positions 377 to 825 of the family's 1533-position model. The record is from RNAcentral. Lineage: Eukaryota; Ciliophora; Prostomatea; Prorodontida; Colepidae.
GUAAGUUUGAUAGUAAUGUUGUGUGAGGGAUGAAGGUUUUUGGGUUGUAAAUUUUUUUUUUUAAGGAAGAAGAAUUGAUGGUAUUUGAGGAAUAAGUUAUGGUUAAUUUUGUGUUAGUAGUUGUGGUAAUAUGGGAGUGGUAAGUGUUAUUUGGAAUUAUUGGGUGUAAAGUGUCCGUAGGUGGUUUUGAAAGUUUGUUGUUAAAGUGUGGAGUUUAAUUUUAUUUUAGCAAUGGAAAUUAGAAGAUUAGAGUGUGGUAGGGGUAGAGGGAAUUUUUGGUGUAGUGGUGAAAUGUGUAGAUAUUGGGAAGAAUAUUAGUGGUGAAGGUGUUUUGUUGGGUUAUAAUUGAUGUUUAUGGAUGAAAGUUAGGGGAGUGAAAGGGAUUAGAUAUUUUUGUAGUUUUGGUUGUAAAUGAUGAAUAUUAGGUGUUG